GACGAACGCUGGCGGCGUGCCUAAUACAUUCAAGUGGGACGCAAGGGAACACACUGUGCUUGCACACCGUGUUUUCUUGAGUCGCGAACGGGUGAGUAACGCGUAGGUAACCUGCCUAUUAGCGGGGGAUAGCUAUUGGAAACGAUAGCUAAUACCGCAUAAUAUUAAUUAUUGCAUGGUAAUUGAUUGAAAGAUGCAAGCGCAUCACUAGUAGAUGGACCUGCGUUGUAUUAGCUAGUUGGUAAGGUAAGAGCUUACCAAGGCGACGAUACAUAGCCGACCUGAGAGGGUGAUCGGCCACACUGGGACUGAGACACGGCCCAGACUCCUACGGGAGGCAGCAGUAGGGAAUCUUCGGCAAUGGACGAAAGUCUGACCGAGCAACGCCGCGUGAGUGAAGAAGGUUUUCGGAUCGUAAAGCUCUGUUGUAAGUCAAGAACGUGUGUGAGAGUGGAAAGUUCACACAGUGACGG
This 473-nucleotide ribosomal RNA is filed under the name Streptococcus mutans. Its description in RNAcentral is "bacterial SSU rRNA". It matches the Rfam family "Bacterial small subunit ribosomal RNA", at positions 28 to 475 of the family's 1533-position model. The record is from RNAcentral. Lineage: Bacteria; Bacillati; Bacillota; Bacilli; Lactobacillales; Streptococcaceae.